Non-coding RNA from Pantherophis guttatus, 813 nucleotides. The record is from RefSeq and is a predicted model, not a curated record. Lineage: Eukaryota; Metazoa; Chordata; Lepidosauria; Squamata; Colubridae.
CAAAAGCCAUUAAUAGGCACAGCUAUAGAGAAAUAAUUUUUCUCUAACACAUAUGUUGAACAUGUGAAUGCAAGGCACUGUGACUGUGAGAGAUUCACCAAACAAUGGCCAUUAGGACAGCUAGCUCUGUUGUUGUAAGUGGUGCAGUGAUAUGAUAUCGCACAUUAUGAAUAUAUUGCUUAGCGACAGAUUCCUGGCUCCAAUUACCCUUGGUGAUCAAUAUUAUAAAUAAAACAAGAAGUUGGCAUGCCCAAUACAUAUUUGUUCAAUAGUUACACUUUGGGGAAAUAAGGCUACUGAAGAUCAAGACAAUUGGGGCAUUUACAGAUAUCUUAAUCAUAUGCACAGUCCAGCCAAUGAAUGAACUCAAGGACCCUGAUGAUGGACAAGCUCACAGAAAUCUAAGCAAGACCUCAUGACUUCUUUGCCAUUAUUCUUAUGGAAUGGGAGAAAGAUGGAAAAAGAAGAAGUGAACAGAACAUCGGAUUAGAUUCUCUCUAUAUCUCUUCCAAAAUACUGUAUCAUCUAUUAGGAAUUAUACUGUGAGAGAGAAAGUCUAAAAAAGCAAUUAAGGGACCUCAGUCUAAAGGACACUAACCCAGGCAGGUUUUAAAUGGCAUUAUAUAGAAGCAUUCCUUUUGCCUUCAGAAGAUUGAGCAAGAUGGGAAUGAAAAGAAUCUGGCAACAAUUAAAGUGCACUUCACCACCCACUGCAAGCAUUCUGUCACACGGUGGAUUGAGUGAACCAUCAGAUUGUGUAACUUGCCUGUUUUUAAUCAUGUACAUGCUACGGGAAUAAAUAUAAUAACAAAA